RNAcentral lists this ribosomal RNA (297 nucleotides) under uncultured bacterium. RNAcentral's name for it is "partial 16S ribosomal RNA". It matches the Rfam family "Bacterial small subunit ribosomal RNA", at positions 475 to 776 of the family's 1533-position model. The record is from RNAcentral.
CUAUGCGCCUUGCCAGCCCGCUCAGGUGUGCCAGCCGCCGCGGUAAUACGGAGGAUGCGAGCGUUAUCCGGAUUUAUUGGGUUUAAAGGGCGCGUAGGCGGUCCGUUAAGUCAGCGGUAAAAUUGCGGGGCUCAACCCCGUCGAGCCGUUGAAACUGUCAGACUUGAGUUGGCGAGAAGUACGCGGAAUGCGCGGUGUAGCGGUGAAAUGCAUAGAUAUCGCGCAGAACUCCGAUUGCGAAGGCAGCGUACCGGCGCCACACUGACGCUGAGGCACGAAAGCGUGGGAUCGAACAGG